GGGGCUGUAGCUCAAUUGGCAGAGCAACGGGCUUUUAACCCGGAGGUCGUGGGUUCGAUUCCCACCGGCCCCACCA
RNAcentral lists this transfer RNA (76 nucleotides) under bacterium. RNAcentral describes it as "tRNA-Lys". It matches the Rfam family "tRNA". Rfam says of the family: Transfer RNA (tRNA) molecules are approximately 80 nucleotides in length. The record is from RNAcentral.